Molecule: long non-coding RNA, 535 nt
Filed under: Salvator merianae (Argentine black and white tegu)
Lineage: Eukaryota; Metazoa; Chordata; Lepidosauria; Squamata; Teiidae
Description: lncRNA (ENSSMRG00000000272.1)
Source: RNAcentral
GGAGGUGCUGCUGUUGAGCAACUGAACCUGGGCUAUAAAAAGUGGGGNCCUCCUUAGCUCUUGUGAUCACCGCUGGAGGUUUCUGAGAGAUCAGCUACUAGCAAGGUUGCUGGAAGAAACUGCUCAAAAUGUCUAAGACUGACAUGGAAGAAGCCUGCGACAAGAUCAUUGCAAUCUUUCAUGAAUACUCAAAACGCUCUAAAGAUGAUAAUACCGACCUUCUGGAUAUAACGGAAUUCAAGAAGAUGGUUGACGAACAGUUCAUCCACUGUCUUGUGAACUUCCGCCAACCACAAAGUAUCGAUCAACUCUUCCAGGAAAUGGACAAAAAUAAGGACGGAUGUCUGAAUUUUCCAGAGUUCAUGGAUGUGCUGGGGCAAUUCCUCAUCUGUUGUCAUGAUAAGUUCCAUAAAGGGGAUACUCCUCACCACGACUGAUAAAAGGACUCACCGAUGUCCAGUGGAANGGAACCUGGGGAGACCUGCUGAGUCACUGCGAAAUAUGUAUCGUUUCUCCCAAAUACUCUUGAUUCCAG